RNAcentral lists this ribosomal RNA (497 nucleotides) under uncultured bacterium. RNAcentral describes it as "partial 16S ribosomal RNA". It matches the Rfam family "Bacterial small subunit ribosomal RNA", at positions 28 to 507 of the family's 1533-position model. The record is from RNAcentral.
GAUGAACGCUGGCGGCGUGCCUAAUACAUGCAAGUCGAGCGAACAGACGAGGAGCUUGCUCCUCUGACGUUAGCGGCGGACGGGUGAGUAACACGUGGAUAACCUACCUAUAAGACUGGGAUAACUUCGGGAAACCGGAGCUAAUACCGGAUAAUAUAUUGAACCGCAUGGUUCAAUAUUGAAAGACGGUUUUGCUUUCACUCAUAGAUGGAUCCGCGCCGCAUUAGCUAGUUGGUAAGGUAACGGCUUACCAAGGCGACGAUGCGUAGCCGACCUGAGAGGGUGAUCGGCCACACUGGAACUGAGACACGGUCCAGACUCCUACGGGAGGCAGCAGUAGGGAAUCUUCCGCAAUGGGCGAAAGCCUGACGGAGCAACGCCGCGUGAGUGAUGAAGGUCUUCGGAUCGUAAAACUCUGUUAUUAGGGAAGAACAAAUGUGUAAGUAACUAUGCACGUCUUGACGGUACCUAAUCAGAAAGCCACGGCUAACUACGUG